UACGGAGGGUGCAAGCGUUAUCCGGAUUUACUGGGGUUAAAGGGUGCGUAGGUGGACUUUUAAGUCAGCGGUGAAAUCUCCGGGCUUAACUCGGAAAUUGCCAUUGAUACUAUUUGUCUUGAAUUAUCUGGAGGUGAGCGGAAUAUGUCAUGUAGCGGUGAAAUGCUUAGAUAUGACAUAGAACACCAAUUGCGAAGGCAGCUCACUACGGAUAUAUUGACACUGAGGCACGAAAGCGUGGGGAUCAAACAGG
This 253-nucleotide ribosomal RNA is filed under the name uncultured bacterium. RNAcentral describes it as "partial 16S ribosomal RNA". It matches the Rfam family "Bacterial small subunit ribosomal RNA", at positions 524 to 776 of the family's 1533-position model. The record is from RNAcentral.